This 437-nucleotide long non-coding RNA is filed under the name Rattus norvegicus (Norway rat). Its description in RNAcentral is "long non-coding RNA NONRATT028940". Lineage: Eukaryota; Metazoa; Chordata; Mammalia; Rodentia; Muridae. The record is from RNAcentral.
GUGACUUCGGUGAAUCUGACUAAGCUCGAAGAAGUUUACAGAGCCUCGAAUGACACCCACUGAUGAUACGGACCCCUGGUGGGCAGCUUUCAGCGGGGCCUGCAAGGAAAUGAACCUCACUCUGGAGCCGGAGAUCUUUCCUGCUGCCACUGACAGCCGUUAUAUCCGAGCGGUGGGGAUCCCAGCUCUGGGCUUCUCGCCCAUGAACCGCACACCCGUGUUACUACAUGACCAUAACGAACGACUGCACGAGGCUGUGUUUCUACGUGGAGUUGACAUAUAUACACGCCUAGUUGCUGCACUUGCUAGUGUGCCCGCUCUGCCUGGUGAAAGCUGAGCCCCAGGCCUUCCAACCCUCAUAGCUUUCAGCCCAACCACUGCCAAGGAUCUGUUGCCCCCGCCCAGUAAUAAAGCCAGUGUUGAAUGGGAUGUUCUUU